Molecule: transfer RNA, 77 nt
Filed under: Tissierellia bacterium
Lineage: Bacteria; Bacillati; Bacillota; Tissierellia
Description: tRNA-Pro
Rfam family: tRNA
About the family: Transfer RNA (tRNA) molecules are approximately 80 nucleotides in length.
Source: RNAcentral
CGGGGUGUGGCGCAGUCUGGUAGCGUACAAGUCUGGGGGACUUGGGGCCGUAGGUUCAAAUCCUAUCACUCCGACCA